This 1365-nucleotide ribosomal RNA is filed under the name uncultured organism. Its description in RNAcentral is "16S ribosomal RNA". It matches the Rfam family "Bacterial small subunit ribosomal RNA", at positions 94 to 1426 of the family's 1533-position model. The record is from RNAcentral.
AGUGGCGCACGGGUGAGUAACGCGUGGGUAAUCUGCCUCCGAAUCGGGGAUAACAUUGCGAAAGCGAUGCUAAUACCGGAUAAAAUCUGGUUGGCUUAGGUGAACCGGAUCAAAGGUGGUCUCUUUAUAAAAGCUACCGUUUGGAGAUGAGCUCGCGUACCAUUAGCUAGUUGGUGAGGUAAAGGCUCACCAAGGCGACGAUGGUUAGCUGGUCUGAGAGGAUGAUCAGCCACACCGGAACUGGAACACGGUCCGGACUCCUACGGGAGGCAGCAGUGAGGAAUUUUGCGCAGUGGGGGAAACCCUGACGCAGCAACGCCGCGUGAGUGAUGAAGGCUUUCGGGUCGUAAAGCUCUGUCAGGUGGGAAGAACCCACCAAGUGUUAAGACCACUUGGUGCUGACGGUACCACCGAAGGAAGCACCGGCUAACUCCGUGCCAGCAGCCGCGGUAAUACGGGGGGUGCGAGCGUUAUUCGGAAUCAUUGGGCGUAAAGGGCGCGCAGGCGGUUUUGUAAGUCAGAUGUGAAAUCCCGGGGCUUAACCCCGGAAGUGCAUAUGAAACUAUGAGACUUGAGUAUGGGAGAGGGAAGCGGAAUUCCUGGUGUAGCGGUGAAAUGCGUAGAUAUCAGGAGGAACACCGGUGGCGAAUGCGGCUUCCUGGACCAAUACUGACGCUGAGGCGCGAAGGCGUGGGGAGCGAACAGGAUUAGAUACCCUGGUAGUUCAAGCAGUACACGGUGGAUACACUAGGUGUUUCGGGUAUUGACCCCUGUUGUGCCGGAGUAAACGCUUAAAGUGAUCCGACUGGGGAGUACGAUCGGAAGACUAAAGGUCAACGUGAUUUGACGGGGGCCUGACAAAGCGGUGGAGCAUGUGGUGGAAGGCGACGCAACGGGAAGAACCGGACCUGGACCGGACAUCUCGGGAAGUCCGGGGAAAGACGGGAGUGCCGGUAACGAGGAAUCCGAUGACAGGUGCUGCAAGGCCGUCGGCAGCUCGUGUCGCGAGAAGGUGGGGUAAGUCCCGCAACGAGCGCAACCCCGAUCGUCAGGAGCCAUCAGGUGAUGCUGGGGACUUUGGAGAGACUGCCCCGGUUAACGGGGAGGAAGGUGGGGAUGACGUCAAGUCCUCAUGGCACGUUAUGUGCCAGGGCUACACACGUGCGACAAUGGUAUGUACAAAGGGAAGCGAUCCCGCGAGGAGGAGCUAAUCCCAAAAAGCAUAUCAAAGUUCGGAUCGGAGUCUGCAACUCGACUCCGUGAAGUUGGAAUCGCUAGUAAUCGCGGAUCAGCAUGCUGCGGUGAUACGUUCCCGGGCCUUGUACACACCGCCCGUCACACCAUGAGAGUUGGCUGUACCAGAAG